Molecule: ribosomal RNA, 109 nt
Filed under: Prolemur simus (greater bamboo lemur)
Lineage: Eukaryota; Metazoa; Chordata; Mammalia; Primates; Lemuridae
Source: RNAcentral
GUCUACGGCCAUACCACACCGAAUGCGCCUGAUCUUAGAAGCUAAGCAGGGUCAGGCUUGGCUAGCACUUGGAUGGGAGACCACCUGGGAAUAUCGGGUGUUGUUCCCA